UAGGGAGCUGUCUGUAACACCUAAAUUGUGUAAGUGAUUGUUAAGCAAGGCAUGUCCGGUAAGAGCCCCAACCAGUAGUUGGAGCUGGGCUCUCUCAUAACCACGAAGUUUGCGCGACAAUCCUGGGUUGAUCGUCGAAAGAGCUUCCUUGGUCUGCCUGCAGGUAGUUAGUUUUGCCCAAUAUUCUUGGCGCAUUACCUUGGUGUUGUGUCGCAGCUGGCUGCGCAGCAAUCCGAAAGGCAGAGGCAAAAUGGGUUCAGGUCCUUUUAAAGGAAAAUACAUUUCUAUU
Melitaea cinxia (Glanville fritillary) is the source of this 289-nucleotide long non-coding RNA. RefSeq lists it as uncharacterized. Lineage: Eukaryota; Metazoa; Arthropoda; Insecta; Lepidoptera; Nymphalidae. The transcript is spliced from 3 exons. The record is from RefSeq and is a predicted model, not a curated record.